UCCGUAGGGUGAACCUGCGGAGGGAUCAUUACUGAGUUACCGCUCUAUAACCCUUUGUGAACAUACCUACAACUGUUGCUUCGGCGGGUAGGCCGUCCCCUGAAAAGGACGCCUCCCGGCCCGGACCGGACCCCCUGUGGGGCCGGACUCGGCGCCCGCCGGAGGAUAACCAAACGCUAUUUUAACGACGUUUCUUCUGAGUGGCAUAAGCAAAAUAAUCAAAACUUUUAACAACGGAUCUCUUGGUUCUGGCAUCGAUGAAGAACGCAGCGAAAUGCGAUAAGUAAUGUGAAUUGCAGAAUUCAGUGAAUCAUCGAAUCUUUGAACGCACAUUGCGCCCGCCAGCAUUCUGGCGGGCAUGCCUGUUCGAGCGUCAUUUCAACCCUCAAGCUCUGCUUGGUGUUGGGGCUCUACGGUCGACGUAGGCCCUCAAAGGUAGUGGCGGACCCUCCCGGAGCCUCCUUUGCGUAGUAACAUUUCGUCUCGCACUGGGAUCCGGAGGGACUCUUGCCGUAAAACCCCCCAAUUUUUCAAGGUUGACCUCGGAUCAGGUAGGAAUACCCGCUGAACUUAAGCAUAUCAAUAAGCGGAGGAA
Molecule: ribosomal RNA, 595 nt
Filed under: Colletotrichum karsti
Lineage: Eukaryota; Fungi; Ascomycota; Sordariomycetes; Glomerellales; Glomerellaceae
Description: eukaryotic LSU rRNA
Rfam family: 5.8S ribosomal RNA (bases 223-376)
Source: RNAcentral